Molecule: unclassified non-coding RNA, 365 nt
Filed under: uncultured Chloroflexota bacterium
Lineage: Bacteria; Bacillati; Chloroflexota
Description: uncultured Chloroflexi bacterium contains 16S-23S intergenic spacer region
Source: RNAcentral
UCUGGGUUUAUCCCAGCGGUCUCGUUAGAAAGAUUUAACUAACGACGGGGGUUGCGCUCGUUGCGGGACUUAACCCAACACCUCACGGCACGAGCUGACGACAGCCAUGCAUCACCUGCACUAGCUCCCCGAAGGGUCCCGCACCUUUCGGAUUGGUACCACUAGCAUGUCAAGCCUUGGUAAGGUUCUUCGCGUUGCGUCGAAUUAAACCACACGCUCCGCUGCUUGUGCGGGCCCCCGUCAAUUCCUUUGAGUUUCAGCCUUGCGGCCGUACUCCCCAGGCGGGGUACUUCCUGCGUUAGCGCCGGCACCCAAGGGGUCGCUCCCCCAGGCACCUAGUACCCAUCGUUUACGGCGUGGACUAC